CCUACGGGCGGCAGCAGUGAGGAAUAUUGGUCAAUGGACGAGAGUCUGAACCAGCCAAGUAGCGUGAAGGAUGACUGCCCUAUGGGUUGUAAACUUCUUUUAUAAAAGAAUAAAACGAGGCACGUGUGCCUUUUUGCAUGUACUUUAUGAAUAAGGAUCGGCUAACUCCGUGCCAGCAGCCGCGGUAAUACGGAGGAUCCGAGCGUUAUCCGGAUUUAGUGGGUUUAAAGGGAGCGUAGAUGGGUUGUUAAGUCAGUUGUGAAAGUUUGCGGCUCAACCGUAAAAUUGCAAUUGAUACCGGCAGUCUUGAGUACAGUUGAGGUAGGCGGAAUUCGUGGUGUAGCGGUGAAAUGCUUAGAUAUCACGAAGAACCCCGAUUGCGAAGGCAGCUUACUAAACUGUGACUGACAUUGAUGCUCGAAAGUGUGGGUAUCAAACAGGAUUAGAUACCCCUGUAGUC
This 460-nucleotide ribosomal RNA is filed under the name uncultured bacterium. RNAcentral's name for it is "partial 16S ribosomal RNA". It matches the Rfam family "Bacterial small subunit ribosomal RNA", at positions 338 to 795 of the family's 1533-position model. The record is from RNAcentral.